GCGAGGCUGGGGGGAGUGGAUUUUUGAACAGUUACUCAGAAUCUUUCGCUAGCCACAGUGUCACUGAAGCAUGAACAGAGCCUGAGAGGCCAUGAGCUUCACCACCAAACAUCGAAAUUGAAAGAGAUGAGGAAGCAGAAAUAAAGAGGAAAGUAACAAAACUUGUUAGAAUGUCAGAACACUGAGGAUGAAGACUCAGAGCAGACAUUAACAGACAGAAAGAAAAAAUACCUGUCCAGUGGCUGUGCAUUUUCCUUUGACACUGCAGUUGGUUAUGAGACUCUGCCUCUACACGAUAGACUAACUCUAGUUGAGGCAGUAAUGUGUUUAGUUCUUGAAGAGAAUGAGGAUGACCACACACAGACACAUGACUAGGACUUCCUCUUGGAUCUGCUUGGUCUGUUGCAGGAAGAUCAUCCAUCACAUCUUCAAAGUGAUAUGCAACUAUCUACACAGAGUAAAGAAACUCUGUGUCAGAGUGCAUUUAACAACACAUGGAUACUGGCAGAAAUAACAGAUUUGAUGACGGAGGCUUUUGGCAAAGACAAGAACAAGUGCAGUCAGUACUUCACAUUGCACAGACCUACAAGCUGGAGUAUGAGAAUGUCUUCCCUGCCUUGGAUUCAGCUGAUUCACUCAUAUUAAUAAAAAGCUAUGUCAACAUAGAAAAAAAUAAAAUUGCUGAUAUUAUUAUUAGUGAAAUGCGCAAAGCAAACUACCCUGAGAAUGUUCUGACCGUACUGGAGGAUGUUCUGGUGUAUCUGGAAAAAGAGCUUCCUAAACACAACACAUCUAAUCAACAAGCUAAUCUCAGUCGAGAAAAAAAUCCCGGAAGAUUUUGUUGAAAUAGUAAAAAUAAUUGACUUUAAAAACCCAGACAGACAAGUUCUCAAAAGUGAAUUGGUGGAAAUGUCAGUGGCAGUAAAAAUAUGCCCAGCUGUCAUAGUUCAAGAGGGUAAAAAGGAAACAGCAAUUAAAGCAUAUCCUCCCAGAUCAACUCGCAACACUGAUUGUUUUCCUGCUUUCAAAAUCACAAAACUAUAUGGGUUGUCUCCUUGAAAUUGGCACAGGUAAAGGAAUAUCCUGUAUCAUAGCCAUGCUUGCUACAAUCCAUACCAUUCGGGGUGUAAAGAUGGAUCCUGUGACGAGCUCCCUGGUCCUCGCCUAUUGUGAUUUAGAGGAAUGGAGAGAACUGUAUGAAAUGUUUGACUUAACAUCAUCUGCUGUUCCUCCGAUGCUGAAUGAUGUCUCAUCUGAGGAACUGACUCAAGAAGCAUACAGACAACAAAUCAUUUACAGUACUGUUGGGACUUUUGCAGCAGAUACACUGAAACAAGAGUUUGAGAAGAAAACAACUCAAGGAGACAGGAGGUUUGAGCUGGUAAUUGUAGAUGAGGUGGACUACAUGACCUUGAAUAAUGGAGUUCAAAUAACAUUCCUGUCCCAUGAAUCCAGUGGCCUCCAGCAUUUGGAGCAGGUCCUUGCAGGCAUCUGGGCCAUGAUAUCCACAUGUCGAUCAAUUGAGGUAGAACAGCUUGGAGAGACCCUGUGGACAACAAGAGUCCAGAAUUUUCACACAGCUGCUCUGAUAGCAAUGAUUGGUCCAGAUAAAAGUGAUAGAUUUUCACCACUAGAGAUUCUGUUGCCAGGAAUUUAAUUUUUUAAAUUUGGAGGUCUCUAUUAGCAAUGAUGGAGAAAAUUGAGACAUUAAUAAUGAUGCAUGGAAAACCACCAUGAGGAAAACUGGCAUAGAACAACGGUAUGACCUGCUCAGUGUUCUUGAGAUGGGAAUGGUGAACAAGCUGGCAUUUAACUGUUACACAUAUCAGCCAGAAACUAGAAAAUCCAUUCAGUUCUGAGAGCAAAAGACAAAAACUGGCCAAAAUAUAAACCUACUGUUAUUGGAAAAUGGAAACUUGUGAAAUAUUGUCUGAAGAUUUACUUGUUAAAGCCACCAUUCAUGAGUUGAAGUUCAAGAUUAAAUAUUCUAAACAAUGAAAUUCCAAACAAGAAAAAAAAAACUAUUGUAAUCCCUUUUUUCUUAGAAAACACCUGGAAAAUCAGCUGCCAGUGUUUGUGGAGAAUGCACUGAAGGCCAUUCAGAUGACCAAAGGCAAAGAGUACAUGAUCGAGAGAUGUCUUAGUGCUCAGGGAAUAGACGUUAGUAAAGAUCAACGCAUAUAUCAUGCAAUAAUCCCAGUGGACUUUCAGGCUAGUGGAAUGUUGGAGAAAAGUAAACGGUGGGGUGAUGGACUACAAUCAUUUCUGGAAAUGAAGCAUCAGUUAUCUUCAUUGCCAUUAACAAAUGUGACAAACUACAUUUCAAAUUCACAUUUCUUUAAAAGAUAGCUUGGUGAGAAAGGGAUAAGGGUGUUUCUGGAACAGUUCGGAACACUUCAGAAGUUCAACAAGGAACAGAUCAUCAUUAUGACCAACCAACACAUUUAAGAGCAUUUUCUCACUGGGGUCCAGGAAACGUUUCCGAGCACACUUGGCCCCGGGACACAGUUGAUUUUUGUCUGUGAGCAUGCAAUCGUUCCAAGUUUGGGAACCAAUUUCUGGACCAAUUGCAGAUGUGGUCUCGGGAACGAUUCAUGCGUUCCCAAACACGGAAGGCGGGACAUAAGAUGCGCUCAUGCUCAAAAGUGGAAGUGAUGUAAUUACUGUUUGAGCCCGUACAUAAACAAACGUGGCUGCUAAGAAAUCGAAGUACAGUAUUUUCUGGAAAUUCAUACAGAACGAAAUACCCAAAGAUAUUUAGACACUACACAUAAAAAAUCAGAUAUUUACGGAAGUAUCCGCAAGUAUUUACAUGUGCCCGUGUACAGCAGCACUGAACGAUGCUGUGCAGAGUUAGUGGAGCCUGGUCCAGCAGAGAGCCUGCGAGUGAACAACAGACACUAGAGAAAACACAGACUGAGACCUCUGACAGUUGCACAAGACGGGCUAACAACAGAAGAAAGAGGAAAAACCUGAUGUGCAAGAACAGAAGACUCAUGGUGCCUGGAUGAAAUCUCAAAUUUAGAUGGAGGAGCGCUGACCACAGAUACAGAGGAAGGAACAUCAUAGUUUCAUUAACAUACACUUGCUAUGCAAGUACAAGUAAAUAUAAAAAUACGCUACAUUUAAAUGUUUACUUUUUUCUCCUAUUUGACAGCUACUUUUGUUAUAAAAUAUACUUGAAUUAUAUUUUGAUUGAAUAAUUUUUAAUAAAACAUUUUGCACUCUGUC
This is a long non-coding RNA of Clarias gariepinus (North African catfish), 3231 nucleotides long. RefSeq lists it as uncharacterized. NCBI's taxonomy places the organism in Eukaryota, Metazoa, Chordata, Actinopteri, Siluriformes, Clariidae. The record is from RefSeq and is a predicted model, not a curated record. The transcript has 3 exons.